Molecule: small RNA, 82 nt
Filed under: Flavobacterium noncentrifugens
Lineage: Bacteria; Pseudomonadati; Bacteroidota; Flavobacteriia; Flavobacteriales; Flavobacteriaceae
Description: Flavo-1 RNA
Rfam family: Flavo-1 RNA
Source: Rfam by way of RNAcentral
CCCUAGCCCUGAUGAAAGCGGCAUCCUUUUGCGGCGUAGCGCAGCGGAGCCGUAAAAGAUAUAGCGGACAGCAGGAAUUGGC